UACGAAGGACCCGAGCGUUAUCCGGAUUUAUUGGGUUUAAAGGGUGCGUAGGCGGAUUUAUAAGUCAGUGGUGAAAGCCUAUAGCUUAACUAUAGAAUUGCCAUUGAUACUGUAAGUCUUGAGUACAGUUGAGGUGGGCGGAAUGUGCAGUGUAGCGGUGAAAUGCUUAGAUAUUGCACAGAACACCAAUUGCGAAGGCAGCUCGCUAAGCUGUAACUGACGCUGAGGCACGAAAGCGUGGGGAUCAAACAGG
This 253-nucleotide ribosomal RNA is filed under the name uncultured bacterium. RNAcentral describes it as "partial 16S ribosomal RNA". It matches the Rfam family "Bacterial small subunit ribosomal RNA", at positions 524 to 776 of the family's 1533-position model. The record is from RNAcentral.